RNAcentral lists this ribosomal RNA (253 nucleotides) under uncultured bacterium. RNAcentral's name for it is "partial 16S ribosomal RNA". It matches the Rfam family "Bacterial small subunit ribosomal RNA", at positions 524 to 776 of the family's 1533-position model. The record is from RNAcentral.
UACGGAGGGGGCGAGCGUUAUUCGGAAUUAUUGGGCGUAAAGGGCGCGUAGGCGGCUGGACAAGUCAAAGGUGAAAUCCCUCGGCUCAACUGAGGAACUGCCUUUGAAACUGUACGGCUUGAGGCCGGGAGGGGGUAGCGGAAUUCCCAGUGUAGCGGUGAAAUGCGUAGAUACUGGGAGGAACACCAGUGGCGAAGGCGGCUACCUGGACCGGUUCUGACGCUGAGGCACGAAAGCGUGGGUAGCAAACAGG